CUCCUCUGACGUUAGCGGCGGACGGGUGAGUAACACGUGGAUAACCUACCUAUAAGACUGGGAUAACUUCGGGAAACCGGAGCUAAUACCGGAUAAUAUAUUGAACCGCAUGGUUCAAUAGUGAAAGACGGUUUUGCUGUCACUUAUAGAUGGAUCCGCGCCGCAUUAGCUAGUUGGUAAGGUAACGGCUUACCAAGGCAACGAUGCGUAGCCGACCUGAGAGGGUGAUCGGCCACACUGGAACUGAGACACGGUCCAGACUCCUACGGGAGGCAGCAGUAGGGAAUCUUCCGCAAUGGGCGAAAGCCUGACGGAGCAACGCCGCGUGAGUGAUGAAGGUCUUCGGAUCGUAAAACUCUGUUAUUAGGGAAGAACAAAUGUGUAAGUAACUAUGCACGUCUUGACGGUACCUAAUCAGAAAGCCACGGCUAACUACGUGCCAGCAGCCGCGGUAAUACGUGGGUGGCAAGCGUUAUCCGGAAUUAUUGGGCGUAAAGCGCGCGUAGGCGGUUUUUUAAGUCUGAUGUGAAAGCCCACGGCUCAACCGUGGAGGGUCAUUGGAAACUGGAAAACUUGAGUGCAGAAGAGGAAAGUGGAAUUCCAUGUGUAGCGGUGAAAUGCGCAGAGAUAUGGAGGAACACCAGUGGCGAAGGCGACUUUCUGGUCUGUAACUGACGCUGAUGUGCGAAAGCGUGGGGAUCAAACAGGAUUAGAUACCCUGGUAGUCCACGCCGUAAACGAUGAGUGCUAAGUGUUAGGGGGUUUCCGCC
RNAcentral lists this ribosomal RNA (770 nucleotides) under uncultured Staphylococcus sp. RNAcentral describes it as "bacterial SSU rRNA". It matches the Rfam family "Bacterial small subunit ribosomal RNA", at positions 81 to 838 of the family's 1533-position model. Lineage: Bacteria; Bacillati; Bacillota; Bacilli; Caryophanales; Staphylococcaceae. The record is from RNAcentral.